UUAUAACCAUUUUAGAAUAUAUUUGGUUACGAAUCCAACCAUAUAAAUUUUGCAUUAUAAAAAUAAAAAAUUAAUAGUCAAAUUAUUGGUCAAAAAUUGGAAAGUUUGAAUCUUGAUAUGCGUGCGCACCUUAUAGAUAAAAACGGAGGGAGUACAGUCUUGUCUACGGUUCCUAUUGAGCUAUGAACCCACUUAUAUGCUCAUCGAGCUAUGUUUCUUUGUUAAUUUUCUGUUGUUUAUGAAAUUUCUGCAAUUUCAUAUAUUUCCGACAUCUCAAUUUAUUGAAUAUGAUAUUUAGUUUUUAAUAAAAGAUAUACAAAUGAGAGUGGUGCCGGAGUUCAAGUUGACUCCACACAAAACAUGCACACUAUCUAAUACUUGUUUCGUCCGUCCUCGCUACAGUUCCUUUGUGUGUCCGCAGAUAUCAUAUUCCUGUCUCUAGGUUAGCACUGUGAUGGGUACUAUUCUAGUGCUAAUAAUUAUCGAUACAAGUUUGUACUGAAAGUUUAGCAAGCUCCUAUAAAAUGUUCUAUUCUUCUGCAAAUGCUAUACAUUAUAUGACAUGUAUGACUAUUAAAGGAACUUUUCUAAGAUGAAAAAUUCAAAUUUGUUAUGUGGUAUAUAUAGGCUGAAGGGCCACUUUCAGUUUUAUACAAAAUUGAAAUAACUCAUGCAGAAACCAAGUAGUUAGAACCCUUUACUAUCUCCGCUAAUCUUCACAUUUGUAAUAAAGAAUAAAAUAUACCAGCAUCGGCUUAGUAAUGUUUGUUUCUUAACCCUCCA
This 783-nucleotide long non-coding RNA is filed under the name Setaria viridis. Its description in RNAcentral is "long non-coding RNA (SVIR_LNC009128)". Lineage: Eukaryota; Viridiplantae; Streptophyta; Magnoliopsida; Poales; Poaceae. The record is from RNAcentral.